UGGCGGGCGGGUGAGUAACGCGUGGGUAACCUGCCUCAUACAGGGGGAUAACAGUUAGAAAUGACUGCUAAUACCGCAUAAGACCACAGUACCGCAUGGUACAGGGGUAAAAACUCCGGUGGUAUGAGAUGGACCCGCGUCUGAUUAGGUAGUUGGUGGGGUAACGGCCUACCAAGCCGACGAUCAGUAGCCGACCUGAGAGGGUGACCGGCCACAUUGGGACUGAGACACGGCCCAA
Molecule: ribosomal RNA, 238 nt
Filed under: uncultured bacterium
Lineage: Bacteria
Description: partial 16S ribosomal RNA
Rfam family: Bacterial small subunit ribosomal RNA
Source: RNAcentral